AUUGAACGCUGGCGGCAGGCCUAACACAUGCAAGUCGAGCGGAUGAAGGGAGCUUGCUCCUGGCUUCAGCGGCGGACGGGUGAGUAAUGCCUAGGAAUCUGCCUGGUCGUGGGGGAUAACGUCCGGAAACGGGCGCUAAUACCGCAUACGUCCUGAGGGAGAAAGUGGGGGAUCUUCGGACCUCACGCUAUCAGAUGAGCCUAGGUCGGAUUAGCUAGUUGGUGGGGUAAAGGCCUACCAAGGCGACGAUCCGUAACUGGUCUGAGAGGAUGAUCAGUCACACUGGAACUGAGACACGGUCCAGACUCCUACGGGAGGCAGCAGUGGGGAAUAUUGGACAAUGGGCGAAAGCCUGAUCCAGCCAUGCCGCGUGUGUGAAGAAGGUCUUCGGAUUGUAAAGCACUGUAAGUUGGGAGGAAGGGCAGUAAGUUAAUACCUUGCUGUUUUGACGUUACCAACAGAAUAAGCACCGGCUAACUUCGUG
RNAcentral lists this ribosomal RNA (484 nucleotides) under uncultured bacterium. RNAcentral's name for it is "partial 16S ribosomal RNA". It matches the Rfam family "Bacterial small subunit ribosomal RNA", at positions 30 to 507 of the family's 1533-position model. The record is from RNAcentral.